RNAcentral lists this ribosomal RNA (256 nucleotides) under uncultured bacterium. Its description in RNAcentral is "partial 16S ribosomal RNA". It matches the Rfam family "Bacterial small subunit ribosomal RNA", at positions 524 to 776 of the family's 1533-position model. The record is from RNAcentral.
UACGUAGGGCGCAAGCGUUAUCCGGAAUUAUUGGGCGUAAAGAGCUCGUAGGCGGUUUGUCGCGUCUGCCGUGAAAGUCCGGGGCUCAACUCCGGAUCUGCGGUGGGUACGGGCAGACUAGAGUGUGGUAGGGGAGACUGGAAUUCCUGGUGUAGCGGUGAAAUGCGCAGAUAUCAGGAGGAACACCGAUGGCGAAGGCAGGUCUCUGGGCCACUACUGACGCUGGAGAAGCGGAAAAGCAUGGGGAGCGAACAGG